UGGGGAAUAUUGGGCAAUGGGCGCAAGCCUGACCCAGCCAUGCCGCGUGAGUGAUGAAGGCCUUCGGGUCGUAAAGCUCUGUGGGGAGGGACGAAACAGCCUGUGGCUAACAUCCACGGGCCUUGACGGUACCUCCUUAGCAAGCACCGGCUAACUCCGUGCCAGCAGCCGCGGUAAUACGGAGGGUGCAAACGUUGCUCGGAAUCAUUGGGCGUAAAGCGCACGUAGGCGGCUCGAUAAGUCGGAUGUGAAAUGCCUCGGCUCAACCGAGGACGUGCAUUCGAAACUGCCGAGCUUGAGUAUGGAAGAGGGUCGCGGAAUUCCCGGUGUAGAGGUGAAAUUCGUAGAUAUCGGGAGGAACACCAGUGGCGAAGGCGGCGACCUGGGCCAAUACUGACGCUGAGGUGCGAAAGCGUGGGGAGCAAACAGGAUUAGAUACCCCGGUAGUCC
This 450-nucleotide ribosomal RNA is filed under the name uncultured bacterium. RNAcentral describes it as "bacterial SSU rRNA". It matches the Rfam family "Bacterial small subunit ribosomal RNA", at positions 355 to 796 of the family's 1533-position model. The record is from RNAcentral.